RNAcentral lists this ribosomal RNA (484 nucleotides) under uncultured bacterium. RNAcentral describes it as "partial 16S ribosomal RNA". It matches the Rfam family "Bacterial small subunit ribosomal RNA", at positions 29 to 507 of the family's 1533-position model. The record is from RNAcentral.
AUUGAACGCUGGCGGCAUGCUUUACACAUGCAAGUCGAACGGCAGCGCGGGCUUCGGCCUGGCGGCGAGUGGCGAACGGGUGAGUAAUACAUCGGAACGUGCCCAGUAGUGGGGGAUAGCUCGGCGAAAGCCGGAUUAAUACCGCAUACGACCUGAGGGUGAAAGCGGGGGAUCUUCGGACCUCGCGCUAUUGGAGCGGCCGAUGGCAGAUUAGCUAGUUGGUGGGGUAAAGGCCUACCAAGGCGACGAUCUGUAGCUGGUCCGAGAGGACGACCAGCCACACUGAGACUGAGACGCGGCCCAGACUCCUACGGGAGGCAGCAGUGGGGAAUUUUGGCCAAUGGGCGAAAUCCUGAUCCAGCAAUGCCGCGUGUGUGAUGAAGGCCUUCGGGUUGUAGAGCACUUUUGGCGGGAACGACAAGGACUGUGCCAAUACCACGGUUCGAUGACGGUACCCGCAGAAUAAGCACCGGCUAACUACGUG